RNAcentral lists this ribosomal RNA (669 nucleotides) under uncultured archaeon. RNAcentral describes it as "bacterial SSU rRNA". It matches the Rfam family "Archaeal small subunit ribosomal RNA", at positions 323 to 996 of the family's 1478-position model. The record is from RNAcentral.
CUACGGGGUGCAGCAGGCGCGCAAACUUUACAAUGCGAGCAAUCGUGAUAAGGAAACCCUGAGUGCCUGUCGAUGCAGGCUGUUCAUAUAUCUAAAUCAUAUGUGAAGAAAGGGCAGGGCAAGACCGGUGCCAGCCGCCGCGGUAAUACCGGCUGCUCGAGUGAUGGCCACUAUUACUGGGUUUAAAGCGUCCGUAGCUUGACUGUUAGGUCUCUUGGGAAAUCUUCACGCUCAACGUGAAGGCGUCUAAGAGAUACCGGCAGUCUUGGAACUGGGAGAGGUAAACCGUACUUCGGGGGUAGGAGUGAAAUCUUGUAAUCCUCGAGGGACGACCUAUGGCGAAGGCAGUUUACCAGAACAGCUUCGACAGUGAGGGACGAAAGCUGGGGGAGCAAACGGGAUUAGAUACCCCGGUAGUCCCAGCCGUAAACAAUGUGCGUUAGGUGUGUCGGUAACCACGUGUUACUGAUGCGCCGAAGAGAAAUCGUGAAACGCACCACCUGGGAAGUACGGUCGCAAGGCUGAAACUUAAAGGAAUUGGCGGGGGAGCACCACAACAGGUGGAGCCUGCGGUUUAAUUGGAUUCAACGCCGGACAUCUCACCGGAUAAGACAGCUGAAUGAUUGUCAAUCUGAAGGUUUUACGUGACUAGCUGAGAGGAGGUGCAUG